GUGAAUCAUCGAAUCUUUGAACGCAAAUUGCACUCUCCUCGGAGAGUAUGCCUGUUUGAGGGUCAGCCUAUAAAAAAUCGACAUCGUUGCUGUUUCGCGGUGGCGUUCGUCGGAAAUUGGGUUAUCUUAAAUCCUUUUGUGCUUUAAGCGACUUAAAUUUUUCUUUUUUUUUCCGUGAAUGUUUCUAAGAUUUAUUUCUUUACACGUUUAUGGUAUCGUUGUUUUUUAGACGUUAACAUCA
Molecule: unclassified non-coding RNA, 241 nt
Filed under: Glomeraceae sp.
Lineage: Eukaryota; Fungi; Glomeromycota; Glomeromycetes; Glomerales; Glomeraceae
Description: partial contains 5.8S ribosomal RNA and internal transcribed spacer 2
Rfam family: 5.8S ribosomal RNA (bases 1-65)
Source: RNAcentral